This 492-nucleotide ribosomal RNA is filed under the name uncultured bacterium. Its description in RNAcentral is "partial 16S ribosomal RNA". It matches the Rfam family "Bacterial small subunit ribosomal RNA", at positions 29 to 507 of the family's 1533-position model. The record is from RNAcentral.
AGUGAACGCUGGCGGUAGGCCUAACACAUGCAAGUCGAACGGCAGCACAGUAAGAGCUUGCUCUUACGGGUGGCGAGUGGCGGACGGGUGAGGAAUACAUCGGAAUCUACUUUUUCGUGGGGGUUCACGUAGGGAAACUUACGCUAAUAUCGCAUACGACCUACGGGUGAAAGCAGGGGAUCUUCGGACCUGUCGCGAUUGAAUGAGCCGAUGUCGGAUUAGCUAGUUGGGGGGGUAAAGGCCCACCAAGGGGACGAUCCGUAGCUGGUCUGGGAGGAUGGUCGGCCACACUGGAACGGGACCACGGUCCAGGCUCCUACGAGAGGCAGCAGUGGGGAAUAUUGGACAAUAGUGGCAAGCCUGAUCCAGCCAUACCGCGUGGGUGAAGAAGGCCUUCGGGUUGUAAAGCCCUUUUGUUGGGAAAGAAAAGCAGCAGGUUAAUACCCCGCUGUUCUGACGGUACCCAAAGAAUAAGCACCGGCUAACUUCGUG